UUGAACGCUGGCGGCAUGCCUAACACAUGCAAGUCGAACGGCAGCACGGUCUAGUUUACUAGAUGGGUGGCGAGUGGCGGACGGGUGAGUAAUGCGCAGGAAUAUGCCUUAAAGAGGGGGAUAACUUGGGGAAACUCAAGCUAAUACCGCAUAAUCUCCGAGGAGAGAAGCUGGGGACCUUCGGGCCUGGCGCUUUAAGAUUAGCCUGCGUCCGAUUAGCUAGUUGGUAGGGUAAAGGCCUACCAAGGCGACGAUCGGUAGCUGGUCUGAGAGGAUGACCAGCCACACUGGAACUGAGACACGGUCCAGACUCCUACGGGAGGCAGCAGUGGGGAAUAUUGGACAAUGGGCGCAAGCCUGAUCCAGCCAUGCCGCGUGGGUGAAGAAGGCCUUAGGGUUGUAAACCCCUUUCAGCGGGGAAGGUAAUGACGGUACCCGCAGAAGAAGUCCCGGCUAACUCCGUGCCAGCAGCCGCGGUAAUACGGAGGGGACUAGCGUUGCUCGGAAUUACUGGGCGUAAAGCGCACGUAGGCGGAUUUGUAAGUCAGGGGUGAAAUCCCGAGGCUCAACCUCGGAACUGCCUUUGAUACUGCAAAUCUCGAGUCCGGAAGAGGUGAGUGGAAUUCCUAGUGUAGAGGUGAAAUUCGUAGAUAUUAGGAAGAACACCAGUGGCGAAGGCGGCUCACUGGUCCGGUACUGACGCUGAGGUGCGAAAGCGUGGGGAGC
RNAcentral lists this ribosomal RNA (726 nucleotides) under uncultured soil bacterium. RNAcentral describes it as "bacterial SSU rRNA". It matches the Rfam family "Bacterial small subunit ribosomal RNA", at positions 29 to 769 of the family's 1533-position model. The record is from RNAcentral.